This 429-nucleotide ribosomal RNA is filed under the name uncultured bacterium. RNAcentral's name for it is "bacterial SSU rRNA". It matches the Rfam family "Bacterial small subunit ribosomal RNA", at positions 29 to 506 of the family's 1533-position model. The record is from RNAcentral.
GCGAACGCUGGCUGCAGGCCUAACACAUGCAAGUCGAGCGCCCAGCAAUGGGAGCGGCAGACGGGAUAGUAACACGUGGGAACGUACCUUUCAGUUCGGAACAACCAAGGGAAACUUUGGCUAAUACCGAAUACGCCCGUAAGGGGAAAGAUUUAUCGCUGAAAGAUCGGCCCGCGUCUGAUUAGCUAGUUGGUGAGGUAAUGGCUCACCAAGGCGACGAUCAGUAGCUGGUCUGAGAGGAUGAUCAGCAUCACUGGGACUGAGACACGGCCCAGACUCCUACGGGAGGCAGCAGUGGGGAAUAUUGGACAAUGGGCGCAAGCCUGAUCCAGCAAUGCCGCGUGAGUGAUGAAGGCCUUAGGGUUGUAAAGCUCUUUCGCACGCGACGAUGAUGACGGUAGCGUGAGAAGAAGCCCCGGCUAACUUCGU